CCGGUUGAACACGAUGCGCUGCUUCGCGUAAGCCGCUGCACGAUCGAGCGCGAGCUUGCCGAGACCGACCGCUUCCGCCGCGAUCAGCACCCGCUCGGGAUUCAUGCCGUGCAGGAUGUAUUCGAACNNNNNNNNUACGAUCCUCCACCGGAAUCUCGAAGUCGGCGAAGAAGAGUUCGUUGGAGUCGAUCGCCUUGCGGCCCAUCUUCUCGAUCUCAUGCACCUUCACCCGCUCGCGGUCGA
This 243-nucleotide unclassified non-coding RNA is filed under the name Hevea brasiliensis (rubber tree). The record is from RNAcentral. Lineage: Eukaryota; Viridiplantae; Streptophyta; Magnoliopsida; Malpighiales; Euphorbiaceae.